UACAAAAGCUGAUGUCUACAGU
Molecule: non-coding RNA, 22 nt
Filed under: Arabidopsis thaliana (thale cress)
Lineage: Eukaryota; Viridiplantae; Streptophyta; Magnoliopsida; Brassicales; Brassicaceae
Source: RNAcentral